GCCGGGGGCACCGCGGCUAUUUMUCUUAAUUCCCCGCGCGAAGGGAGCUGGGCCAGCCGCGGCCGGAUAAGCUUCCUGCGUGCGGCGGGAGGGGAGGGAAGAGGGAGCCGCCGCCGCCGCCCUCCCCYGGGCGCACGUCAGCGGGGCUAACACCGGGCCACCCGGCCCCUGCGUGCCGAGGGCCGCAGGCAACAGCCACCCCGCUAGCUGCGGCCGCUCCGUGCGCGGGCAGGAAGAGGCGGCAGCUCCCGGCCGCCGCCGCCCGUCCCAACAGCAGUCCGAGCCCGGCGCCCCGCGUAGGGAACCCRGCCCGCUGUGCUGCCGCCCGCGAGCGGGGGAAGUGGGGCCUCAAGCCCUUCUGCGGAUCAGCCUCAAAGUUGGGCCCGGUGCUCCCKAGCGCUGUCAGGCUGCCCGACCUUGGGGACGCGUGUGGAAGUCCCCGAGGAAAUGAGCCAUCUGGUGCAGAGAUUAACCAGCCAUGUGCAAGGGAAAGAAGAAAGCCUCCUUUCAGCCUUCAGCUGUAAGAYAGACCUUCAUCCUCAUCUCCUGGACAUGAAGCUACAGAUGCCAUGGCACACAAGCAGAGUUCAGCCAGGGAGGAGAUCUUCAACUCAACAGAUUGACACUUGCCAARUCUGACAGACAGUUAACUUUUCUGACUAUCAACAGAAUUUUCAGGYACCAAGGCAGGAUUGCCCAGAUUUGGAGCCCAGAAACACUGCUGUUCUCUGUGCUUCAUGAGAAUCUGCUGUAAAAUCAUGUGGAUGAUUCAUACCAAUGUGUGCAGAGGCAAGCACUGUUCUCUAUGCUAAGUGCAUUUACUGAGUACAACAUUUGCAUUGACUACAAGAUGGGUGGYUACAUCCCYUA
Long non-coding RNA from Malurus melanocephalus (red-backed fairy wren), 870 nucleotides. RefSeq lists it as uncharacterized. The record is from RefSeq and is a predicted model, not a curated record. The transcript has 4 exons. NCBI's taxonomy places the organism in Eukaryota, Metazoa, Chordata, Aves, Passeriformes, Maluridae.